GAUGAACGCUGGCGGCGUGCUUAACACAUGCAAGUCGAACGCUGAAGCCUGGUGCUUGCACUGGGUGGAUGAGUGGCGAACGGGUGAGUAACACGUGAGUAACCUGCCCUUGACUUCGGGAUAAGCCCGGGAAACUGGGUCUAAUACUGGAUAUGACCUCCUACUGCAUGGUGGGGGGUGGAAAGAUUUAUCGGUUGGGGAUGGACUCGCGGCCUAUCAGUUUGUUGGUGGGGUAAUGGCCUACCAAGACGACGACGGGUAGCCGGCCUGAGAGGGUGACCGGCCACACUGGGACUGAGACACGGCCCAGACUCCUACGGGAGGCAGCAGUGGGGAAUAUUGCACAAUGGGCGCAAGCCUGAUGCAGCGACGCCGCGUGAGGGAUGACGGCCUUCGGGUUGUAAACCUCUUUCAGUAGGGAAGCAGCCCCUCGGGGUGACGGUACCUGCAGAAGAAGCGCCGGCUAACUACGUGCCAGCAGCCGCGGUAAUACGUAGGGCGCAAGCGUUAUCCGGAAUUAUUGGGCGUAAAGAGCUCGUAGGCGGUUUGUCGCGUCUGCUGUGAAAGCCCGGGGCUUAACUCCGGGUGUGCAGUGGGUACGGGCAGGCUAGAGUGCAGUAGGGGAGACUGGAAUUCCUGGUGUAGCGGUGGAAUGCGCAGAUAUCAGGAGGAACACCGAUGGCGAAGGCAGGUCUCUGGGCUGUUACUGACGCUGAGGAGCGAAAGCAUGGGGAGCAAACAGGAUUAGAUACCCUGGUAGUCCAUGCCGUAAACGUUGGGCACUAGGUGUGGGGGACAUUCCACGUUUUCCGCGCCGUAGCUAACGCAUUAAGUGCCCCGCCUGGGGAGUACGGCCGCAAGGCUAAGACUCAAAGGAAUUGACGGGGGCCCGCACAAGCGGCGGAGCAUGCGGAUUAAUUCGAUGCAACGCGAAGAACCUUACCAAGGCUUGACAUGGACCGGAUCGGCGCAGAGAUGUGUUUUCCCUUCGGGGCUGGUUCACAGGUGGUGCAUGGUUGUCGUCAGCUCGUGUCGUGAGAUGUUGGGUUAAGUCCCGCAACGAGCGCAACCCUCGUUCUAUGUUGCCAGCACGUUAUGGUGGGGACUCAUGGGAGACUGCCGGGGUCAACUCGGAGGAAGGUGGGGAUGACGUCAAAUCAUCAUGCCCCUUAUGUCUUGGGCUUCACGCAUGCUACAAUGGCCGGUACAAUGGGUUGCGAUACUGUGAGGUGGAGCUAAUCCCAAAAAGCCGGUCUCAGUUCGGAUUGGGGUCUGCAACUCGACCCCAUGAAGUCGGAGUCGCUAGUAAUCGCAGAUCAGCAACGCUGCGGUGAAUACGUUCCCGGGCCU
RNAcentral lists this ribosomal RNA (1350 nucleotides) under uncultured bacterium. RNAcentral's name for it is "bacterial SSU rRNA". It matches the Rfam family "Bacterial small subunit ribosomal RNA", at positions 28 to 1381 of the family's 1533-position model. The record is from RNAcentral.